This 1345-nucleotide ribosomal RNA is filed under the name uncultured bacterium. Its description in RNAcentral is "bacterial SSU rRNA". It matches the Rfam family "Bacterial small subunit ribosomal RNA", at positions 28 to 1381 of the family's 1533-position model. The record is from RNAcentral.
GACGAACGCUGGCGGCGUGCUUAACACAUGCAAGUCGAACGAUGAAGCGGUGCUUGCACCGUGGAUUAGUGGCGAACGGGUGAGUAAUACGUGAGUGACCUACCUUUGACUCUGGGAUAAGCCUGGGAAACUGGGUCUAAUACCGGAUACGACCAAUCUCUGCAUGGGGUGUUGGUGGAAAGCGUUAUGGAGUGGUUUUAGAUGGGCUCACGGCCUAUCAGCUUGUUGGUGAGGUAAUGGCUUACCAAGGCGACGACGGGUAGCCGGCCUGAGAGGGUGACCGGCCACACUGAGACUGAGACACGGCCCAGACUCCUACGGGAGGCAGCAGUGGGGAAUAUUGCACAAUGGGCGCAAGCCUGAUGCAGCGACGCCGCGUGAGGGAUGACGGCCUUCGGGUUGUAAACCUCUGUUAGCAUCGAAGAAGCGAAAGUGACGGUAGGUGCAGAGAAAGCGCCGGCUAACUACGUGCCAGCAGCCGCGGUAAUACGUAGGGCGCGAGCGUUGUCCGGAAUUAUUGGGCGUAAAGAGCUUGUAGGCGGCUGGUCGCGUCUGCUGUGAAGGCCGGGGCUUAACUCCGGUUUUGCAGUGGGUACGGGCUAACUAGAGUGCAGUAGGGGAGACUGGAAUUCCUGGUGUAGCGGUGGAAUGCACAGAUAUCAGGAGGAACACCGAUGGCGAAGGCAGGUCUCUGGGCUGUAACUGACGCUGAGAAGCGAAAGCAUGGGGAGCGAACAGGAUUAGAUACCCUGGUAGUCCAUGCCGUAAACGUUGGGCACUAGGUGUGGGGGACAUUCCACGUUUUCCGCGCCGUAGCUAACGCAUUAAGUGCCCCGCCUGGGGAGUACGGCCGCAAGGCUAAAACUCAAAGGAAUUGACGGGGGCCCGCACAAGCGGCGGAGCAUGCGGAUUAAUUCGAUGCAACGCGAAGAACCUUACCAAGGCUUGACAUGCAUUAGAUCGCGUCAGAGAUGGCGUUUCCCUUCGGGGCUGGUGUACAGGUGGUGCAUGGUUGUCGUCAGCUCGUGUCGUGAGAUGUUGGGUUAAGUCCCGCAACGAGCGCAACCCUCGUUCUAUGUUGCCAGCGGUUCGGCCGGGGACUCAUAGGAGACUGCCGGGGUCAACUCGGAGGAAGGUGGGGAUGACGUCAAAUCAUCAUGCCCCUUAUGUCUUGGGCUUCACGCAUGCUACAAUGGCCGGUACAGAGGGUUGCGAUACUGUGAGGUGGAGCUAAUCCCUUAAAGCCGGUCUCAGUUCGGAUUGGGGUCUGCAACUCGACCCCAUGAAGUCGGAGUCGCUAGUAAUCGCAGAUCAGCAACGCUGCGGUGAAUACGUUCCCGGGCCU